Long non-coding RNA from Carcharodon carcharias (great white shark), 1951 nucleotides. RefSeq lists it as uncharacterized. Lineage: Eukaryota; Metazoa; Chordata; Chondrichthyes; Lamniformes; Lamnidae. The transcript has 2 exons. The record is from RefSeq and is a predicted model, not a curated record.
UUUGGACAUAGGUUGAGUCAUAGCUUAGCUUGGACUCCCUAUCUCUUUGAGGUGGAGAUUCUUCAAAGACUAAUAUAACCAUAUUGGAUUUUAUUCUACUCAACUCCAACUCUUCCUCUCCCCCUUCCCAAGUCACAGUUCUGGGGGUUUCAAUCCCCCUCAGUAUUCUCAGCCCUUAGGGAAGAUCGUUUGGAGACAUGAGGGUUUGCUUCUGCAUCUGGUAGGACAUCAUGAUCUGAAUAAUAGGACAACAUUUUAUAAGCAUUGCUGUCAGCAGAGCUGGGAAUCAGAGUGAAGAUUUCAGAACGACUGAACUGCAAGGACAACAAAGAUGUUUCAACAAAAGACUGAUGAAAAAGAGGAGACUGAAGAGAAUCGAUCUUUGGACUCCCUGGGACUAGAAGAGGAGAACUCAGGACGCUCUAGGAAACUUGUUGCCCCCUCAAAGGACUCCGGGAAGAAGAUUAAAGAGAGCAAUGAUCGUCAACUCCAGGAAAGACUGUCACAGCUGUAUCAUGGAUUGCUGCAUCAAAGACUGAAAAGGCAUUGAAGAUCUGAGAUUCCAAUGAACUUAGAUGAUGAAGGAGAAAAAGCUUCUUGUAAGGCUGACAGAAAAAGAAGAAGAGAUGCUUUCCCAAUGAUUUUUCAGGAGGAUUGUCUAUUUUCUGUAGUUGGUGGUAAGAGAACCACACUUCUCUCUGUACACGGCUGCACCACUAUGGGAAGAGCUGCUGAGAAUAUAAAAACAAGACAGCCUCUGUAAUGAGAAAAAUUUCCUGUAGAAAAGUAAUUCAGGGACAAAAUUGUUGUACGGACUUUUUCAGCUCCAGAAUUGCUAGAGAUUCUGCCACAUCUUCUGUGCUGACUGCUAGCUCUGAGUAGAAGAAAGAUGUUGACUGGGACAGAAGGAUGAGUGGCAAUUGAUUUUUCAUCCCAGAAAGGUACCAGCUCUUGAGCAGUGUGAUCCUCUAUGGACUCUGACAUGGAAUCAGGCAAAGCAUUCUCUUUGGAAGACGCCUCACGGAUAACAGGAGAGAAGGUAGGCAAUAAUUCAGCAGAUUCCGUGGAACUAAGAUCUGAAUACUGCUCAGCCAUAAAAAGCAUGGCUGAUUCUUCUAAAUUGACAACAGGGAAGUUAUAAGGUGCAUCCAACAAAGGGAAAGAUGAAUCAUUCUCCAGGACCCCAAUCUCCUAGAGGUCACUCAGUGCUGCAAGAGAUUCUUCCUCAUCACUCUCUAGGAGAAGCCAAUUCAGGUCCAGCAGGUCUUCAUGGGGAUGGUCACCAUGUGCUGCAGUGCCAUCUGUAUCCUCAAUCUCUGGCCUUAUUUCGUGAAAACUGAGAGAUUCAUAACUUCCUUGUCUGUCCUGGGUCUAAUGAUGGUGUCUCUGUGAAGAAAAGGAGCUUACUGCUGAGUGUAUAAACUUCCUCAGUUUCUGAAGGCUAAAUUUCCACUGCUUCUAAAUAUAAGGUUGAAGAUUGGGUGCAUGAAAGACAGUGAGUCAUUCAAAGGAUGAGCAUCAUCUAGUUCUUCUUGGAUUCCUAGAAGUAUGUUAACAUGCCCCUCAGUAAGGAUGUGCAUUGACUGUGAAGAACAUAAAGCGAAUCAAUGAACUGUCACCCCCAUGUAGACAAGUGGAGCAAUAAUCCUGCCUUUGAUUGGAAGGUCUAUGUCACCUGGACAUUGUAACUUGAUGUCUGACAGAUAAAGGGUCAUUGGCUGAAGCCAGUUGAGGUCACUGCUAAUAUGCUAAUAGCAGCUUCCAGUACCAAUUCUACAAGAAGUUUCAAAGCUUCUGCUGUAACCGCCGGCCUUCUGGAUUAAGACUGUCUACUUCCCCUAGGAAUUCUGUGGUUCUGUCUUUUUCUAGGCUUUCAAUUUCUGGGGAGUAACGAGCUUUGUAAACACUUGCUAGUCUGUGACUUCGAUUAAAAUGACUGAAUUUGCAGAAA